AAACUUUCGAGAUGGGACUGACCUCGCCCUAAUAGGACACCAUUUGAAAAGGGCAAUCAUCGAACGGUUCAUAUUGCUUAGUAAGAUUUUUGGACCUUUUCAAUUUCAAAAAAUUAAAAAUAAUUUUUAUGAUAAUUAUUGACAAUUUUUGGGCUUUAUUGAGGUGCGAUCGAAUCGAUGAUAGCUCACCAGCGCCCGAGACCAAGUUUUUUGUCAAACUUGGCUGCCUAGCGGCUUAUCCUAGAAUAUAAUCAAUAUUACAAUCGAUCCUAGUAUUUUCAGACAUUCCGAACCUGUUCUAGCUGUCAGAUUUGGCGUAGGUAAAUGCAAACUCCAAGUUGUUCAUUUUGCCUAAUACCAAGUUUAGAAUAAAAUUCAUAAA
RNAcentral lists this unclassified non-coding RNA (382 nucleotides) under Hevea brasiliensis (rubber tree). The record is from RNAcentral. Lineage: Eukaryota; Viridiplantae; Streptophyta; Magnoliopsida; Malpighiales; Euphorbiaceae.